GGAUUAGAUACCCUGGUAGUCCUAGCUGUAAACGAUGGAUACUAGGUGUUGCGCGUAUCGACCCGUGCAGUACCGUAGCCAACGCGAUAAGUAUCCCGCCUGGGGAGUACGCACGCAAGUGUGAAACUCAAAGGAAUUGACGGGGGCCCGCACAAGCGGUGGAGUAUGUGGUUUAAUUCGAUGCAACGCGAAGAACCUUACCAGGGCUUGACAUCCCGCGAAUCUUUCAGAAAUGAGAGAGUGCCUUCGGGAACGCGGAGACAGGUGGUGCAUGGCUGUCGUCAGCUCGUGCUG
RNAcentral lists this ribosomal RNA (294 nucleotides) under uncultured bacterium. RNAcentral's name for it is "partial 16S ribosomal RNA". It matches the Rfam family "Bacterial small subunit ribosomal RNA", at positions 775 to 1067 of the family's 1533-position model. The record is from RNAcentral.